Molecule: long non-coding RNA, 567 nt
Organism: Oreochromis aureus
Lineage: Eukaryota; Metazoa; Chordata; Actinopteri; Cichliformes; Cichlidae
Source: Ensembl
CACGGAAGUAGCUGGCAACGCAAGUAAUCCGGGCGCUGCAGCUUUAAGUAGCUGCGCGCGCUCCCGCGGACGGCAAUCACUUUUUGGCACAACACCUGUUAUGGGAGUCGGCUGGCGUGCAUAUUGAUUGACUGGAUGAGAUCUUCCAUUGUUCCAUCGUCACUGUGUAUGUGACGGAGUGGCAUUGCUUGCCUACAGCACAGUGCUGUGCAUAAAAGCAGACCGACCCAGGCCGGAGAAUCAUUUCUUGUUCGCAUUUCUGAGAACGCACAUCAGGAUGGCCUCCGUAUCACUGCCACGCAGGAAGAACCUCUCCACGCAACAGGCUUUGGCCUUACUUCGGGAAAUGGACGAAGCAGAUUCUGAUGGAGGAGAGGUUUCAUUUGUCCAGCAGGCCACUGAUACCUCUUCAGAAGAAUCUGAAAAUGAGACGGAACAAGAACCCAACAUGCCUCCACGGAAGAGGCCCCGUGGUACUGGGAAGCCCAGCCAGAACCACACGGCAAAAGACGGCACUGUGUGGGUUGAGGAGGACAUUGGAAUGCCCAGUGCAGAAGCAAAUCGUUU